RNAcentral lists this long non-coding RNA (229 nucleotides) under Elaeis guineensis (African oil palm). RNAcentral describes it as "long non-coding RNA (EGUI_LNC043986)". The record is from RNAcentral. Lineage: Eukaryota; Viridiplantae; Streptophyta; Magnoliopsida; Arecales; Arecaceae.
GGGGUCCCUUUUUAUAGGCGGAGAGCGUAACUGAUCGAUAGUGACAUCUGUAACUGCCUGAUAGUGGGCAGUUCAGAGCCGCACGGAGUUUGUUAUAGAGAGUAGUGGCGUCAGGAGCUAUUCAGGGCCACAUGAAGUUUGUUACGGAGAGUGGAGUGGUGUCCAUUGUCGUGACUUGCCAGGGAGCAGAGUAAGGUAGUGGCCCUUGUCGUGGUUUGACAGAGAGUAG